CAGAAGAUGAAAGAAAAUAAGAGGGAUCCAGAGCCACACUUUGAUGUGUCUGAUGUGAUGGGAACCUUAUCCACAUGUUAACUGAUGAUGAAGAGGAGGAGGGGGUUUGAUGUUGUGGUGGCUCUCCUCUUUGAAUCCUGCACAGCUCCUGGCUCUUCUGUUCUAUCAUGAAUGCUGUGCAGCAUGUGAGAGAUGGGGAAUCUCAGGAGAGCUGGGAGGAUGAACAGAGAGGCCCAUGUGGGUAAGUACAUUCAGAGUUAUUGGAUACUUCUUAAACUAUAUAUUGUGUCACUCAUACACACAAUUACAUCUCAAUGAGUUCCACAAGGGAUGUAUCCACCUGCAACAUGUAGAAAUGGUCAUUUAAUGCACAUUGUUAUGAAAUAAAGAUCUAUUGUUCCUUCUUUGAAAUAAAACAAAUUUGUGUUGUCUGUUUAUUCUCACAAUUAGCAGCUGUUUUAUGUCCUUUCAGAACCAUUUCUCUCAAAAUGUUGAAAAAGCCAAAAAAACAUUUUGUGGGACAUUUUUGGAAUGAGAUAAUUCAUUUGUUUGAAGUAUUUCCUUUGAAAAGGUUUAGUCCUGUAAUGUGCCUUACUCUUUUGUUUCAAAAUACAGGUUGAAGAACUACCUUGCUGCACUAACACUUUUUCUAUUUAACAAGUACAAGUAUUUAGGACUCCAAAAAAGUAAUGGAUGCUGUGUUAGAGAUUGAACUGCCCAACAUUUAAUAAAGAUAAGCUGCACCUCAACCAGUAAACACAACAUGCUACGAACACAUUAUCUGUAUAAUACUUUCACCAAUUCCACAGCACGAAAGGCCACUUAAUAAAAAUCCCAUAAUAAACAAUCCUUUGCCAUGUCUUCUACCUAGUGCAACAUAUUCACGACCACUGUCCUCGCGUGUGUUUGCAGCUUGUCACCAGAUGUCGUUGUUGGUUACACUCUGAAAAAAAUGACAUCCAUUGUGAAAGUGACACUAAAACUCAUUCAAAUGUUCUCGUGGCGCAGCUUUCCUAUAUAAACAUUAAUUCAUUUUCGGUUGGCUGCCCGCACGGUAGGCUUAUAUUGGGGUUGAAGGGCAGAAGACAGGAUUUAGUGACUGAUGGCAGAUGGCGGUGUUAACAUUAGAGACAAGCCGAGGAGAUACUCCCCUAUUGUAAAUAAAGGAUUUAACGAUUCAAUCCUGGGUCAGGGGUUUGCUGUGUUUUUCAAAAUAAACACGUUUAAUAUUGCUGAAGCCACGCAGAACCAAAUCGUGACUCCUUUGAAGUGUCAUCGUGUGCGCAAGUGGGGUGUGUGCAGCCUCCUGCGUGUCAUGUGGGCUCAUUGUUUACAUGCUGUCGAGAUUUCACUCAGGGCGUGUGUGUGCGUUUUUGCGAUGUAAAACCACGGUCCCAGCUUUUAAGAGCUCACUAAUUGAUUUAAUGUUUGUUUUUUUCAAUAGGAGAGGAAAUAUUGUAGACUCUCAGGAUAACGUGUCACGAAUGGAGUUAGACCCAUUUCAGCACCAGGGCCAGCUCCACGGCGAGAACAAAAGGCGGAUUUGCAUCUCUUGAUGUCAGGGACCGUCUGCUUUUUUAGUGUCUACAAUAAAAACGAAAAAUAUGAUAAAUCCCUCAGAGAAAAAUCCUCAUGACUUCUUAACAGCCCUAUCUUUAAGCCUCUUCAAAUGUGAUUACCUAAAUUCUAACAUUAUCCAACUUAAAGCAUAUCCUAGCUGUAUGACUUCAUCCAAAAUGCUUUUAAGGCUUUGUUUUAGUUUGCGUCUUUGUAUUAUCAGGUUUAGUUCUUGUUAAACUCUUGCCGUGCAUCCAUUCCCUGUUACUGAACUUUACAGACUUAAUAUAAGAUGUCACCCUGGAAAAAAAGUUGGACUUCCAAAGGAACAUUUUUUGAAUAUAUAUAUUAAAUAAGUUCACCUCAACUGAGUUGGAAAAGUUGGUUUAUCAAUGAAUGCAAAAGGCCACAAAGUGCUAUGCAAAACAGAUGUAUCGCAAAACUUUGACAAUAAUUAGCCAUCCACAAAUGUAAUUCAAAUGUAAGAUGGGCAUGCUACAAGGUAGGAGUGGGACACAUAUUAUUAAACACCAUUUGUUUUGGAUAUCAAGGUAUCAACAGAUAGAAAAAACAAUGCAUACUCAUCUGACAUGACUAUGUUGCUAUAAUAGUUAUCAUUUGAGUAAUUUAAUGCCAAAAAUAGCUUAAAUGAAUAUUGGGUUGUUUUUCUAUGUCAUGAUAUUAAAUAGAAUAUCUUCAGGUUUGGACCAUCAAACAAAAACAAACAAUAUAAAUAUAUCAGUUUGGGAAAUGUGAUUGGAAAUUUACUGUACAGCUUUGUGAUAUUUAAUAUAUUCCACAAAUAAUCCAACAAGCCAAAUAGAAAAAUAAAUGUUGGGAAUACACAAUUUAAAAUACAGCCAGCCAUGUACAUACAUCAAACAAGUUUACAGUUCAUUUAUUGUACUUACAGUGUGGAAUAAUAGUUUGUACCAACAAGGGAAUGCAAAGAUUACGGUUUAACGCACAGGAAAUUACCCGUACCACUUACAGGGGGGACCUACUCUUUUUUUUCAAGAUCAUUUUUUGCCUUGUUUUUAUAUUAUAGCCAAAGAUAGACAGGGAAGGGAAAGGAGAAAGAGAGAAUAACAUGCAGCAAAGGGUGAGUACAUGUCCUUGCGCUACCAUUUGAGCUAACAGGUUCAUUCUAAUAGCCUAGCAUAAGAUAUAAGUUAACAGACAUUAGUUGAUACCUAUAGUCAACAUUAGGGUAUUUAGUCAGGGUUAUGACAUAAAUAAAUACCACUAAAUAGAUAAAACAUCUUUAAAUAUAGUGCAUUUGUAUUAUUAUGAGGUAGCUAGCUACUAUCAUUUAUAAUAAUCUUGUAUUUGAAGACAUUAUUGUCCAUUCAAGAAAAUGUGUUUUGGAUUAGGGCACCAAAAAAAAGAGAAACCGUGCACAAUAUUGAAGUCUGAUAGAGAAAAAAUACACAAGUCAGUAAUUACAGAACCUAACCUUAUAACGGAUACAUGCUAAUUAAGAAUGACAUGGCAGGCAUGACUGUAUUUCAUGUGUUCUCAUUACCUCCGGCUGACACGGGGCUGGUAAUUUUGCGACGGUCCCUGGCGGCAGACAUCACGGCUCGUUCAGCCAGGGGGGAGGAGGGAUGGAGCUGAGAUGGACAGGGAGGAGGGAGACACCGGCUUACGACGUCAAAUAAGUACACACACACACAUACACACUCACACAGCGAGCGGGAGAGGAGAGGACAGCCGACCGGACUGCCAAUUCCCCACGGUCUACUGAAGGGAGCCUCAAUUCAUCAUUCACAACACUCUUGAUUCAGCAGAGACGGACAUUUGUUUAUUUUUACGUCAGAUUUAUUUGGAAGGGGGAAAAAACACGGAGCAUCUGUCAGGGAAAAAACAACAAGCAGAUCUGGAAAAAGACGCUCAUGCCGAAUAAAGGACCGUCGCUGGAUGUUACUUGUGUUGUUAUAAGGGGGGUACAGGCCUAACUUGUUACAGGAUUCAAAGACGCUCGUACAGACAAAUGAACUGAAUUAUUGAGAUUCAAUAACUAAAUAACAGCGGGGGGGACGAAGAAAGACAUCCACGGAUCACGCCGAGUCUUUGCCACGAACAGCACCACAGACUUCUCAAUGAAGGAGCCUGACGCAAUCAAGCUCUUCAUCGGGCAAAUCCCCCGAAACCUGGAGGAGAAGGACCUGAAGCCCAUCUUCGAGCAGUUUGGAAAGAUCUAUGAGUUGACGGUGAUAAAGGACAAAUACACAGGGAUGCACAAAGGAUGUGCCUUCCUGACAUAUUGUGCACGUGAGUCCGCCCUCAAAGCCCAGAAUGCACUGCACGAGCAGAAGACACUACCCGGGAUGAACCGCCCAAUCCAAGUGAAGCCUGCAGACAGCGAGAGCAGAGGGGAAGACAGGAAGCUGUUUGUGGGCAUGCUGGGAAAGCAGCAGACGGACACCGAUGUGAAGAAGAUGUUUGAGCCGUUCGGCAGCAUAGAGGAGUGCACGGUGCUCCGCGGGCCGGACGGCACCAGCAAAGGGUGUGCAUUUGUAAAGUACCAGAGCAACGCAGAGGCCCAGGCCGCCAUCAACACUCUGCAUGGGAGUCGUACUUUACCAGGUGCCUCGUCCAGCCUGGUGGUGAAGUUUGCUGAUUCAGAGAAGGAGCGAGGGCUGAGGCGGAUGCAACAGGUGGCCUCUCAGCUGGGGGUCAUCAGCCCCAUGACCCUGCACCUCGGGGCCUACAACGCCUACACACAGGCCAAUAUCCAGACUCCCUCUCUCCCCUCCUAUCAAUCCCCCUCCCCCCUCUCCCUCCUCCAGUUGAUGCAGCAGCAGGCCCUGGUGGCUCAGUCGGCCUACCUCUCUCCUGUUGCCACGGUGGCGGCGGUUCAGAUGCAGCAGCUCGCCGCCCUCAACCCCAACAGCAUCAUCGCCACGCCGAUCUCAUCCAUCACCCCCUCCUCAGGUGCCAGCACUCCACCCUCCAUGGCCGGCACACCGGUUCCUGCUCUGCCUCCCCCCCUCACCGUGAACAGCUACGCCUCUUUGCCAGCUCCACCCAACGGCCAUUCAGCAACUGAAGCCCUGUACACCAACGGGGUCCAUGCUUACCAAGCUCAGAGUCCGGUGCUGGACCAUAUGCAGCAAGCUUACACCGGCAUGCAGCACUACACAGCCACCUACCCCGCUGCCUACAGCCUGGUGGGACAGCCGUUCCCCCACCAGCCCACCCUGUUGGCCCAGCAGCCGCAGCAACCGCAGCAGCUGCAGCAGCUGCAGCAGCGAGAAGGUCCAGAGGGAUGCAACAUCUUCAUCUACCACCUGCCGCAGGAGUUCACCGACUCUGAGAUCCUGCAGAUGUUCCUGCCCUUCGGAAACGUCAUCUCUGCAAAGGUCUUUGUGGACCGCGCCACCAACCAGAGUAAAUGCUUUGGUUUUGUAAGUUUUGACAACCCCUCCAGCGCCCAGACUGCCAUCCAGGCCAUGAACGGCUUCCAGAUCGGCAUGAAGAGACUGAAGGUGCAGCUGAAGAGGCCCAAGGAUGCCAACAGGCCUUACUGAAGGAGACUGUCCUGUCCAUACAUAUAUCGUGGAGACGUGCGUCGCUAUGGCUACGGUUGCAUAGCAACCGCUAAAACCUCCCCCCCUCUUCCUUCUCACUGCGUUGUAAAACCUAAGAGUUCAAUCAAGAAAACCACUUGGGAUGUCCCAGCCUUUUUUGGUUGUUUGACCAACCGUAUAGCACAGGAGCAACACUUCACGAAAGCAGUAUCACGUGUAUGCGCUUACAAAAACAACAGCAGUAAUAUCGGCGACAGAAUAAAUCUACAGAAACCGCAUCCUCAAUAUCAGAAGUGCUCCAGAUUUCCUAUCAUUCCACAGCUGGAUUCAAUUAUAUUAUGUACAUACUCUAUUGUCGGCAACAAGAUCUACAUGUUAAGAAAAAGCAUAUCAUGAUGUUAUUCUUCUGAACAGGGUUCUACUGUAUAGUGUGAUUUGUGGUCCAUGGCGUUAACAGAAGGCCAGUCUACAGUCGGAGGCAAAAGAAAAUACUAUUCUGUAUGAUUACCAUUGGUAAUAUUGUUAUGUAGAGUUAGUUUUAUUAUUUAUACGUAAAUUUAAAAAAAAACAAGGGGGAGAUUACACAGGAAGAGAUUUGGAUUUCCUCACUGUAUAUACCUUGAUUUAAAAAUGGAGUUUAAAGACUUCACAAGUUAAGAUUCUCUGCUGCCACUACUUUUCAAAUUAUCAAAGCGGAAGGAAUGGCUGGGAAUUUUUCUAUCUUGAUUUUUUACGUUUAAUUUAUUUGGUAAUCAAUUUGAUGAGGUUGGAUGGGUGGAGAUGUGACAAUUUCUUUUUUAAUUUAAGAAAAAAAAAGAGGAUUCCUGUGGUCUUCAAGACAAUGAACACACUUAUUAUAGAGUUUUUAAUUACAUAAAUGUACCUAUGGAAGUAAAAAAAAAAAACAUAAUGUUUCUUUAUUUAUUCUCUACAAUCGCUGUUUUAAAACAUAUGUCUUUAAAAGAAAAUAAAGUACAAUUUAGAAGAAAAAAAA
This is an RNA transcript of Trematomus bernacchii (emerald rockcod), 6084 nucleotides long. It is a transcript of the gene named cugbp, Elav-like family member 3a, with no coding region annotated. The record is from RefSeq and is a predicted model, not a curated record. The transcript is spliced from 17 exons. NCBI's taxonomy places the organism in Eukaryota, Metazoa, Chordata, Actinopteri, Perciformes, Nototheniidae.